UCCGGCUUAGUCCGGAGGGAUUGCCCGCCCACCAGCAUUAGGGGCUGGUGGGAAUGAAACACUCAAAAGUUUAAAUAACCCAAAUCACCUCCUCGGGGACAAAUGAGUCUCCACUAUAUCUACUAUUAUACUUUCAAUUCCAAAAGAUGAUUUAGAAAUAACGCCCAGUUUUUUAAUACUAAUAAUAAAAUAGGAAGAUGGCGUUCUUGAAAAAGAAAAAUACAACUGGAAGCCGCUUUUGGAAAAAAUUAACGAAAGAAAAAGAUCAUUGGCUACAAGCUGUCAAUAUUUACUUCAGCAUCAUAAAACACUGUUUUCUAAUGAUAAUGUCUCUCAUCAAAAUUAUGAUUGUUUUGUGUCUAUAGAGAAUAGUUACUCAAAAUCAGUUAUCUGCGAUGCAACUGGUCUAACUAAGCUGCUAAUUUGUCCAUCUUCUUUGCAUGGAGAUUCUAUUACGUGUUCCGUGUUAAAAACAGAAAACGUUAAAGUGGACGAUCUGCUUCAUACAAAUAAUACUUUUUUAGUUAUUCAACAUCCGUUUAAACGGAUUGUUUCGUUAUUUAAAAGUCUAAUUUUAAGCAGAAAAGACGAAGUACAAAAACUGUAUAAAGAUGGUGCCAAGGACGAAUUGCUUUUUGUAAAUUUCGUUGCAUUUAUCUUGUAUGAAAAUCAAGAUAAUAAUAAAUGGAUAGCUAUACAGAAGGGCUGUUCUGUUUGCAGCACAACAUUUGACUGCAUUAUUAGCAUGGAGAAUAUACAGGAAGAAAAGGACUAUUUUCUCUAUAGAACAACUGGAACCGAACCACCUUAUCAUAGUAUAGAUAAUUUGGAAAUGUUAGUUCCCAGUGAUUUUGAAGUUGAUUUUUAUAUCUCUAAACUUCCAAAAUUCGCAAUUUUACAAUUGUAUCAACUCUUUAGGUUAGAUUUCGAACUGUUCCACUACAGAUUAAAUACAUAUUUAUCCAUGGGAAUCGAGUACGACUAUUCAUCAAACGAAACCGUUUAAAAAACCACUGCUAUAAAACCCACCGACUGAAAAACUUUUGUAUAUUUAUUAUUUUGUUGUCAUUUCUUCCCCAACAAUUGUAUCAAGUAAGAAAUCAGGCUACGUAUUGAGCAAAAAUUUUAAUGUAUGUAUUAACCUAACCCUGAAUAUGCCUCAUAAUAGGCGAAACGUAGGUUGACGGUCUCAUAAGUAGCUUCAUUUUUAACUUCCCAUUAGGAAGUUAUUGUAAUUGGGUCGAAAAGUGAAAUCGGAAUUUUCAUUAUAUUUCCACGU
Molecule: long non-coding RNA, 1279 nt
Organism: Agrilus planipennis (emerald ash borer)
Lineage: Eukaryota; Metazoa; Arthropoda; Insecta; Coleoptera; Buprestidae
Exons: 5
Source: RefSeq, a predicted model, not a curated record